UACAGAGGUCUCAAGCGUUGUCCGGAUUUAUUGGGCGUAAAGCGCGUGUAGGCGGCCAGGUAGGUCCGUUGUGAAAACUCGAGGCUCAACCUCGAGACGCCGGCGGAAACCAUCUGGCUAGAGUCCGGAAGAGGAGAGUGGAAUUCCCGGUGUAGCGGUGAAAUGCGCAGAUAUCGGGAAGAACACCCGUGGCGAAGGCGGCUCUCUGGGACGGUACUGACGCUGAGACGCGAAAGCGUGGGGAGCGAACAGG
RNAcentral lists this ribosomal RNA (253 nucleotides) under uncultured bacterium. RNAcentral's name for it is "partial 16S ribosomal RNA". It matches the Rfam family "Bacterial small subunit ribosomal RNA", at positions 524 to 776 of the family's 1533-position model. The record is from RNAcentral.